RNAcentral lists this ribosomal RNA (1385 nucleotides) under Kocuria sp. RNAcentral's name for it is "bacterial SSU rRNA". It matches the Rfam family "Bacterial small subunit ribosomal RNA". The record is from RNAcentral. Lineage: Bacteria; Bacillati; Actinomycetota; Actinomycetes; Micrococcales; Micrococcaceae.
GUCGAACGAUGAUGCCCAGCUUGCUGGGCGGAUUAGUGGCGAACGGGUGAGUAAUACGUGAGUAACCUGCCCUUGACUCUGGGAUAAGCCUGGGAAACUGGGUCUAAUACUGGAUACUACCUCUUGCCGCAUGGUGGGUGGUGGAAAGGGUUUUACUGGUUUUGGAUGGGCUCACGGCCUAUCAGCUUGUUGGUGGGGUAAUGGCUCACCAAGGCGACGACGGGUAGCCGGCCUGAGAGGGUGACCGGCCACACUGGGACUGAGACACGGCCCAGACUCCUACGGGAGGCAGCAGUGGGGAAUAUUGCACAAUGGGCGGAAGCCUGAUGCAGCGACGCCGCGUGAGGGAUGACGGCCUUCGGGUUGUAAACCUCUUUCAGUAGGGAAGAAGCGAGAGUGACGGUACCUGCAGAAGAAGCGCCGGCUAACUACGUGCCAGCAGCCGCGGUAAUACGUAGGGCGCAAGCGUUGUCCGGAAUUAUUGGGCGUAAAGAGCUCGUAGGCGGUUUGUCGCGUCUGCUGUGAAAGCCCGGGGCUCAACCCCGGGUCUGCAGUGGGUACGGGCAGACUAGAGUGCAGUAGGGGAGACUGGAAUUCCUGGUGUAGCGGUGAAAUGCGCAGAUAUCAGGAGGAACACCGAUGGCGAAGGCAGGUCUCUGGGCUGUUACUGACGCUGAGGAGCGAAAGCAUGGGGAGCGAACAGGAUUAGAUACCCUGGUAGUCCAUGCCGUAAACGUUGGGCACUAGGUGUGGGGGACAUUCCACGUUUUCCGCGCCGUAGCUAACGCAUUAAGUGCCCCGCCUGGGGAGUACGGCCGCAAGGCUAAAACUCAAAGGAAUUGACGGGGGCCCGCACAAGCGGCGGAGCAUGCGGAUUAAUUCGAUGCAACGCGAAGAACCUUACCAAGGCUUGACAUUCACCGGACCGCCCCAGAGAUGGGGUUUCCCUUCGGGGCUGGUGGACAGGUGGUGCAUGGUUGUCGUCAGCUCGUGUCGUGAGAUGUUGGGUUAAGUCCCGCAACGAGCGCAACCCUCGUUCUAUGUUGCCAGCACGUGAUGGUGGGGACUCAUAGGAGACUGCCGGGGUCAACUCGGAGGAAGGUGGGGAUGACGUCAAAUCAUCAUGCCCCUUAUGUCUUGGGCUUCACGCAUGCUACAAUGGCCGGUACAAAGGGUUGCGAUACUGUGAGGUGGAGCUAAUCCCAAAAAGCCGGUCUCAGUUCGGAUUGAGGUCUGCAACUCGACCUCAUGAAGUCGGAGUCGCUAGUAAUCGCAGAUCAGCAACGCUGCGGUGAAUACGUUCCCGGGCCUUGUACACACCGCCCGUCAAGUCACGAAAGUUGGUAACACCCGAAGCCGGUGGCCUAACCCCUUGUGGGAGGGAG